UACGUAGGGGGCUAGCGUUGUUCGGAAUCACUGGGCGUAAAGCGCACGUAGGCGGAUGUGUCAGUCAGGGGUGAAAUCCCGGGGCUCAACCUCGGAACUGCCUUUGAUACAGCACGUCUCGAGUCCGGAAGAGGUGGGUGGAAUUCCUAGUGUAGAGGUGAAAUUCGUAGAUAUUAGGAAGAACACCGGUGGCGAAGGCGGCCCACUGGUCCGGUACUGACGCUGAGGUGCGAAAGCGUGGGGAGGCAAACAGG
Molecule: ribosomal RNA, 254 nt
Filed under: uncultured bacterium
Lineage: Bacteria
Description: partial 16S ribosomal RNA
Rfam family: Bacterial small subunit ribosomal RNA
Source: RNAcentral